UGGGGAAUUUUGGACAAUGGGGGAAACCCUGAUCCAGCCAUCCCGCGUGUGCGAUGAAGGCCUUCGGGUUGUAAAGCACUUUUGGCAGGAAAGAAACGUCGCGGGUUAAUACCCCGCGGAACUGACGGUACCUGCAGAAUAAGCACCGGCUAACUACGUGCCAGCAGCCGCGGUAAUACGUAGGGUGCAAGCGUUAAUCGGAAUUACUGGGCGUAAAGCGUGCGCAGGCGGUUCGGAAAGAAAGAUGUGAAAUCCCAGAGCUUAACUUUGGAACUGCAUUUUUAACUACCGGGCUAGAGUGUGUCAGAGGGAGGUGGAAUUCCGCGUGUAGCAGUGAAAUGCGUAGAUAUGCGGAGGAACACCGAUGGCGAAGGCAGCCUCCUGGGAUAACACUGACGCUCAUGCACGAAAGCGUGGGGAGCAAACAGGAUUAGAUACCCUGGUAGUCCACGCCCUAAACGAUGUCAACUAGCUGUUGGGGUCUUCGGACCUUGGUAGCGCAGCUAACGCGUGAAGUUGACCGCCUGGGGAGUACGGUCGCAAGAUUAAAACUCAAAGGAAUUGACGGGGGUCAUAGCUGUUUCCU
RNAcentral lists this ribosomal RNA (586 nucleotides) under uncultured bacterium. RNAcentral's name for it is "partial 16S ribosomal RNA". It matches the Rfam family "Bacterial small subunit ribosomal RNA", at positions 355 to 938 of the family's 1533-position model. The record is from RNAcentral.